Molecule: ribosomal RNA, 240 nt
Filed under: uncultured bacterium
Lineage: Bacteria
Description: partial 16S ribosomal RNA
Rfam family: Bacterial small subunit ribosomal RNA
Source: RNAcentral
GAUCAUGGCUCAGGAUGAACGCUGGCGGCGUGCCUAAUACAUGCAAGUCGAGCGAACAGAUAAGGAGCUUGCUCCUUUGACGUUAGCGGCGGACGGGUGAGUAACACGUGGAUAACCUACCUAUAAGACUGGGAUAACUUCGGGAAACCGGAGCUAAUACCGGAUAAGAUUUUGAACCGCAUGGUUCAAUAGUGAAAGACGGCCUUGCUGUCACUUAUAGAUGGAUCCGCGCCGUAUUAG